CUGUAUAGUACUUCCCAUCUGAACAGAAUCUGGACCCGUCAACAAACACAGGUUCAUCAGAUUCACUUGCUUCCUUUCUGAAAAGAGAAAGAAAAUUCUCAACUUCUGCUAAACAUUUAUGGGGUUUACCCUCAUAUUGCAUCAGUUGUGGAAGUACAUACUUUGCCUUAUGUUCUACCUUAAUUUGCUUUGGUGAUAGAGCUAUUAACCAUUGUGAAAAUCUCUGAUGUGACACACCUGGAAUUCCUUUUUCAAGAAGUAAUUUCAAAGGUGUGUGUGGUGUUUGCAGAAUUAUGUCCUUGAAU
Molecule: long non-coding RNA, 305 nt
Filed under: Pelobates cultripes (western spadefoot toad)
Lineage: Eukaryota; Metazoa; Chordata; Amphibia; Anura; Pelobatidae
Source: RNAcentral